RNAcentral lists this ribosomal RNA (568 nucleotides) under Bursaphelenchus mucronatus. RNAcentral describes it as "eukaryotic LSU rRNA". It matches the Rfam family "Eukaryotic large subunit ribosomal RNA", at positions 578 to 849 of the family's 3401-position model. Lineage: Eukaryota; Metazoa; Nematoda; Chromadorea; Rhabditida; Aphelenchoididae. The record is from RNAcentral.
UAUUCAGCCUUCUGGGCGUGCGAUUGGGGUUUGGGCAUUUCCGCAAGGUGUGCCGGGUCCUAUUGUCGUGCGUUCGGUUGGUGCAUUUGCGUACGGAGUGCGCCGGGUUGUGUGGUGUUGUCGGACGAUGCGUGUUUAGAGGACCCGGGCUUCGGCGCUGGGAACCCUGGGCGUGCGGAGUUCGGUUGGCGCUGCGCAGCUUUGUGGAGACGUGGGUUUUUCGCGUGCUGCGGUGUCGGCAGGCUCGGUUUGGGUGGUACACAUGUGUGCAGCCCUUAUCGGGUGGGUCGGUGUUGUGGUGUGCUCUACGUUCUUCCCGGUGUUCAGUCGGUGACCCAUUCGACCCGUCUUGAAACACGGACCAAGGAGUUUAUGGUAUGCGCAAGUCAUUGGGUUUGUCGAAGCCUAAAGGCGUAAUGAAAGUGAGACAUUACUUGUCUGAACGUGACUGGGUGCGGCACUCGUGCGGCCCAAGCAACGUUGCCCCGUUUCGAGGACUUGUCCUGAUGCGGAGGUUGAGCGUAUGCUAUGAGACCCGAAAGAUGGUGAACUAUGCCUGGAAGCAGGA